AAACACCACAUUCACAUGACUUUUAUUACAGUAUAUUGUUAUAACUGUUGUUUUACUGUUAUUGUUGUUACUGUACCUCAUUUAUAAUUUAAACUUUAUCAUAUAUAUGUACAGAAAAAACAUAGUAUAUGUAGGGUUCAGCAUUAGCCAGUUUCAGGCAUCCACUGGGGGUCUUGGAACAUAUCCCGUUGAUAACGGGGGAGUAGUGGAUUUUGUAGAUUUGGUUAACAUCUACGAUCAGUUAAGUAAUGAUUACCAUUGAUACUGUGGGUGGGCCUCAACCAAUCAGUUGAAAGCCUCAAGAGGAAAACAGAUUUCCCUGAAGAAAUCCCACCAGUGUCAGCUCUUGUUUCAUGAAUUUUAGGCUUGCCUAACCAGCCCUCAUAAUUGUGUGAUCCAAUUCCUUGCCACAUAUAAAAGCAAGCAGACGAAAUGACUUAACCCGGUUCACAGGCCUUUGUCACUGGCUACCACAGCAAUGGCAUAAUGGGCACAAGACUUUUCCUACCCACCCCUCCUUCCUAUUUCUUCUCCAGAGGUUAGAUCUGUAUCAUAGUCUGACAGCUUUCCCAGACUCCUCGACCCUCCCCUACUACAUCCCCCACAAACUCUCCAACUCUCCUGCAUGUCUAACCGAGGGUCCAAAUUAACACAAAGGGAAGUCCAACUUAGUGCACUCACUAUUAAAGCUCUGGUCUUUCAUUUUGCAGGGUCAGAAAUUCAACCUUUCAUAAUUUACCAGGGAGUAUUUAUUAAAGGUCCUGUGACCUAGUUCCUACCAAACUCGUUAAGAGACUGAUAGAUAAAGGAGAAAGCUAAAAGGUAGCCUGGUAUGUCUGGAAUACAAAAAGGAAGCUGGCUAGCCAAAAAGUAGAAACAACCCACAUGUCCACUCACUGAUGAGUGCAUAAACAAAAUGUGCUCUAUCAAUACAAUGGGAUAUGAUACAGCCAUAAAAAGGAAUGAAGUACUGAUACAUGCUACAAUGUGGAUGGAUCUCAAAAACACUACAUUAGGCCAGGUGUGGUGGCACACGCCUGUAAUCCCAGAACUUUGGGAGGCCAAGGCAGGCAGAUCACUUGAGGUCAGGAGCUCAAGACCAGCCUGGCCAACACGGUGAAACCCCAUCUCUACUAAAAUACAAAAAUAAGCUAGGUGUGGUGGUGCAUGCCUGUAAUCCCAGCUACUCAGGAGGUUGAGGCAGGAGAAUGGCUUGAACCCAGGAGGCAAAGGUUGCAGUGAGCUGAGAUUGCACCAAUGCACUCCAGUCUGGGCGACAGAGUGAGACUCCAUCUCAAAUUUAAAAAAAAAAAAAAAAAAAAAAAAAAAAAACCACUACACUAAGUGAAAGAAGCCAGACACAAAAGGCCACAAUUGUGUAAUUCCAUUUUUAUGAAAGAUCCAGAAUAGGCAAACCCAUAAACAGGAAGUCCACUGGUGGUUGCUAGGGACAGGGAGGAGGGAGGAAACGGGGAGCUCUUGUUUAAUGGCUACAGGGUUUCAUUUUGGGAUGAUAAAAAAUGUUUUGGAACUAGACAGAGGCAAUGGUUACACAACACUGUGGAUGUUCAGUACCAAAUGCCACUGAAUUGUUCCCUUUAAAAUGGUUAACUUUAUGUUAUGUGAAUUUCACCUAAAUACAAAUAAAUAAUAAAUACAUUGCAAGGAAAAAAUGUGGAAAGAGGCAUAUCGAACAAAAAAGUUUUAAUGAAAAAGAAAAGACAUUAAAAAGUUCUGCAAACAGGAAGGUUUGGGCAUGGA
This 1761-nucleotide long non-coding RNA is filed under the name Homo sapiens (human). RNAcentral describes it as "HSALNT0286344". The record is from RNAcentral. Lineage: Eukaryota; Metazoa; Chordata; Mammalia; Primates; Hominidae.